Molecule: unclassified non-coding RNA, 360 nt
Filed under: uncultured Lysobacteraceae bacterium
Lineage: Bacteria; Pseudomonadati; Pseudomonadota; Gammaproteobacteria; Lysobacterales; Lysobacteraceae
Description: uncultured Xanthomonadaceae bacterium contains 16S-23S intergenic spacer region
Source: RNAcentral
AUACAGGAUGUGACAGGUACGGUUUCCUCGAUAUGAGCCGGUUUUUCCCACGAGGAUCGCUCCCCGUGGCCGCGAUAUCGUUCACGGCACGAGCUGACGACAGCCAUGCACCACCUGUCAGGGGCCCUUACGGACACCGUGUCUCCACGGCUUUUCCCCUGAUGUCAAGGCCAGGUAAGGUUCUUCGCGUUGCAUCGAAUUAAACCACAUACUCCACCGCUUGUGCGGGCCCCCGUCAAUUCCUUUGAGUUUCAGUCUUGCGACCGUACUCCCCAGGCGGCGAACUUAACGCGUUAGCUUCGAUACUGCGUGCCAAAUUGCACCCAACAUCCAGUUCGCAUCGUUUAGGGCGUGGACUAC